Molecule: long non-coding RNA, 1908 nt
Filed under: Anas zonorhyncha (Eastern spot-billed duck)
Lineage: Eukaryota; Metazoa; Chordata; Aves; Anseriformes; Anatidae
Description: lncRNA (ENSAZOG00000000193.1)
Source: RNAcentral
AUGCCCCCCUCCCCCAGGACGUGUGGCCCCUGGGAACCCACCCACAGCCCCCUUGGCAUUUGCAGGGCACCCCCAUUACAAUGCUCCCCCCCCCAAUAUUCUCCCCUGGCAUGGGGCAUCUGUGGGCAAGGGACAUCCCGGGGACCCCCAAAUCCACUCCGUCCCCUCCCAGGCUGCUUGGGACCCCCGGGGACAUGGGGGCACUGCAGGGCACCAUCCAUCUGCACGCACCCCCUGAAGCCCACCCCCAGGGCACACAGACCCCCACCCACUCCAUGUUGUCCCCUAAACCCCCCCUGCACCCGCAGAGCCCCAGCAACACGCACCCCGCAACUUGUGCCCUCGGCAUCCCCAAAUCCCUCCGGCUGCUGCUGGGCACAGGAAGGUCCCGGAGCGGGACCCCAGCACCCUGCCCGUCGGUGGCAGAGGCUGGGGGGGGACAGGAGCCUGGAUCUUUGGGGUCCUUGGCCCAGGGAGGGCAGUGGGGACGUGGGGUGGAGGCUGCUCUUCGCCCCCAUGUGCCCGGGCUGGCGAGGGCGGCGGCGGGCAGGUAGCAGACACCAUGGAAAGGCCUGGGGAGACAGCGUCCAGCUGGGGAAACCGAGGCACGGGGAGCAUCUGGGGGGGCGUGGGGGGCAGNNNNNNNNNNNNNNNNNNNNNNNNNGGGGGGGGGGGGUGGGGGGUGCCGAGUGCCCCCCGUGUCCCCCCGCCGAGGGAGGGGAGCCGGGUGCCGGGUGCGUGGCGGGCAGGGGAGGGGGAGGCGGGCGUGGAGGGGAGGAGGGGGAAGCGCGGGGCUGCCAAAAUCAACUCUCGGCGGUACAAACACCCGGCCAGCUGCACGGUGUAGCCAGGGAAACACGGCACAGCUGGAGCACAACAGGCCCCUACCUCCCCACAAGGCUCCUCCUGGGCCUCCCCCCAAACCCGGUGAGCGGCUGGGGGGGGGGCUGCAGCCCCAGCCCCCUGCCCCUGCUGUCAGGGUGCCCCAUCCACAGCUCGCCCACGGCCUCCCCGUCCCCUUUCCCACCCCAGCUCAUCGCUCCCCUGUCUCCCGCUGUGCCGGGCACCUCUCCGGGGGGGGGCCGUGGGGGCACGGCCAUGCCCAGGAGCUGCCCCGUGGCAGGAGCUGGCCCUGGCACGAGGCCGCGAGGAGCAGCCGGGUUUCCCCGCUGGGACAUCCCGCUGGCACUCCAGGGGCUGGGACAUCGCCAGGGUUCCUGUGCAUCCCGCGGGCACGCCGUGCCCACAGCACCCUGCCACGCUCACCAGGCCCUUCUGCGAGCGGGGACCGUGCCUGGCAGCCUGGCACCCCCGUCCCCGUGCCCUCCCCGCUGUCCCCAGCGGUGCCACCGACCUGUCCCCGCUCCUCUCUCCCGGCGUCCCUGCUGGCCCGGGAUCCGGCGGCAGGGGAGGGCUGGGGGCUGCGCGGCCGUGCCAGCGUCACCGCCCGGUGCCCGCGGUGGCGGCCCAGGGGGACGGCGGGGAGCGAGCGGGGCCGAGCGGGGAGGAGGCGGGCGAUGGCUCCCGGCCUCCCCGCCGGUGCCAGGAAUCCGGCGCUGGCUCUGCGCACCCAGAGCUCGUCACAAUCUCCUGGCUCGGCCGCGGGGAUGUGGGGAAGCGGCAGGGGAAGCUCCCUCCCCUUUCCCGGGAAGGAAGGAAAGCCGGGGAAGCUGCGGCCUUGGCAUGGGGGAAACUGAGGCAGCUCCUCCCGUUGCGCCCGGGCAUCGCUCAUCCCCAGCCCUGCGUGCCCUUAGGAAUGCCAGGGGUGCCCCAGCCCAAGGGACGGUGGCUGCCCUGGGGGUGUCUGAGCUUGUGGGAUGGGGGCAGCACUGGAAAAUGGUCCCGGUGCCCCCAGCUGGCUCCCAGUGCCCCUCAUGUGCUGGGAGCGCUGCACAAAGGCGGCUCUGA